AACGAACGCUGGCGGCAUGCCUAACACAUGCAAGUCGAACGAAACCUUCGGGCCUAGUGGCGCACGGGUGCGUAACGCGUGGGAAGCUGCCCCUAGGUUCGGAAUAACUGUUCGAAAGGGCUGCUAAUACCGGAUAAAGUCUUCGGACCAAAGAUUUAUCGGCAAUGGAUGAGCCCGCGUAGGAUUAGGUAGUUGGUGGGGUAAAUGCCUACCAAGGCGACGAUCCAUAGCUGGUCUGAGAGGAUGAUCAGCCACACUGGGACUGAGACACGGCCCAGACUCCUACGGGAGGAAGCAGUGGGGAAUAUUGGACAAUGGACGAAAGUCUGAUCCAGCAAUGCCGCGUGAGUGAUGAAGGCCUUAGGGUUGUAAAGCUCUUUUAACAGGGAUGAUAAUGACAGUACCUGGAGAAUAAGCUCCGGCUAACUCCGUG
Molecule: ribosomal RNA, 433 nt
Filed under: uncultured bacterium
Lineage: Bacteria
Description: partial 16S ribosomal RNA
Rfam family: Bacterial small subunit ribosomal RNA
Source: RNAcentral